RNAcentral lists this ribosomal RNA (497 nucleotides) under uncultured bacterium. Its description in RNAcentral is "partial 16S ribosomal RNA". It matches the Rfam family "Bacterial small subunit ribosomal RNA", at positions 28 to 507 of the family's 1533-position model. The record is from RNAcentral.
GAUGAACGCUGGCGGCGUGCCUAAUACAUGCAAGUCGAGCGAACGGACGAGAAGCUUGCUUCUCUGAUGUUAGCGGCGGACGGGUGAGUAACACGUGGCUAACCUAUCUAUAAGACUGGGCUAACUUCGGGAAACCGGAGCUAAUACCGGAUGAUAUUUUGAACCGCAUGGUUCAAAAGUGAAAGACGGUCUUGCUGUCACUUAUAGAUGGAUCCGCGCUGCAUUAGCUAGUUGGUAAGGUAACGGCUUACCAAGGCAACGAUGCAUAGCCGGCCUGAGAGGGUGAUCGUGCACACUGUAACUGAGACACGGUCCAGACUCCUACGGGAGGCAGCAGUAGGGAAGCUUCCGCAAUGGGCGAAGGCCUGACGGAGCAGCGCCGCGUGAGUGAUGAAGGUCUUCGGAUCGUAAAACUCUGUUAUUAGGGAAGAACAUAUGUGUAAGUAACUGUGCACAUCUUGACGGUACCUAAUCAGAAAGCCACGGCUAACUACGUG